GAAAUGCGAUAAGUAGUGUGAAUUGCAGAAUUCAGUGAAUCAUCGAAUCUUUGAACGCACAUUGCGCCCCUCGGUAUUCCGUGGGGCAUGCCUGUUCGAGCGUCAUCUACACCCUCAAGCUCUGCUUGGUGUUGGGCGUCUGUCCCGCCUCCGUGCGCGGACUCGCCCCAAAUGCAUUGGCAGCGGUCCUUGCCCCCUCUCGCGCAGCACAUUGCGCUUCUCGAGGCUGCGGCGGUCCGCAUCCAGUAAGCCAAACCACCCGUCUUUGACCUCGGAUCAGGUAGGGAUACCCGCUGAACUUAAGC
Molecule: unclassified non-coding RNA, 305 nt
Filed under: plant metagenome
Description: partial contains 5.8S ribosomal RNA, internal transcribed spacer 2, and large subunit ribosomal RNA
Rfam family: 5.8S ribosomal RNA (bases 1-105)
Source: RNAcentral